ACAUGCAAGUCGAGGGGCAUCGGGGAUAAGCUUGCUUAUCCGCCGGCGACCGGCGCACGGGUGCGCAACGCGUAUAGAAUCUGCCUCGUACUGGGGAAUAGCCCAGAGAAAUUUGGAUUAAUGCCCCAUGGUAUGCAACAGUGGCAUCACAGUUGCAUUAAAGGCUACGGUACGAGAUGACUAUGCGUCCCAUUAGUUAGUUGGUAAGGUAACGGCUUACCAAGGCAGCGAUGGGUAGGGGCCCUGAGAGGGGGAUCCCCCACACUGGUACUGAGACACGGACCAGACUCCUACGGGAGGCAGCAGUGAGGAAUAUUGGACAAUGGGCGGGAGCCUGAUCCAGCCAUGCCGCGUGCAGGAAGACGGUCCUAUGGAUUGUAAACUGCUUUUGUACGGGAAGAACAAGGGGCACGUGUGCCCUUCUGACGGUACCGUAAGAAUAAGGAUCGGCUAA
This 454-nucleotide ribosomal RNA is filed under the name uncultured Flavobacteriaceae bacterium. RNAcentral describes it as "bacterial SSU rRNA". It matches the Rfam family "Bacterial small subunit ribosomal RNA", at positions 53 to 500 of the family's 1533-position model. Lineage: Bacteria; Pseudomonadati; Bacteroidota; Flavobacteriia; Flavobacteriales; Flavobacteriaceae. The record is from RNAcentral.